Non-coding RNA from Pelobates cultripes (western spadefoot toad), 378 nucleotides. Lineage: Eukaryota; Metazoa; Chordata; Amphibia; Anura; Pelobatidae. The record is from the annotation of a GenBank genome assembly.
CACCAUUAGAAAGCUAGCUAUACUCAGCCCAGACACAGAGGCACGGAGGAGGGUCUGUCCCUAUUGUGUGUCAAUUACCGCCUGCGGUGGGAAUAAACUAUUUUGUUCUAAAUAUGCUGCUUUUGUGCCAGUGAAAGUUGUAUCUCUUUUCACCCAUCACUACAUCUAAAAGUAGUGUAUGGAGACUGGGCUAUAAUCACUGCUAUUAUCGCUCCUAUAGACACACCAGAGUAUCUAAGCCGAAAAAGGGAGGCAAAGUGACAGAGGAACCCUAAUCUGUUCCUGAGCUCUGUAAUAGUGCCUAACAGGAUUACUAUUAUUAUUAUUUAUAAAAUAUUUUACCAGGAAGGAUACAUUGAGAUUUCUCUCAUUUUCAAG